This 337-nucleotide ribosomal RNA is filed under the name Centruroides ornatus. RNAcentral's name for it is "partial 12S ribosomal RNA". The record is from RNAcentral. Lineage: Eukaryota; Metazoa; Arthropoda; Arachnida; Scorpiones; Buthidae.
UAAAAAGUAUAAAAUUCAGGUAGUAUUGGAUGACUUAAAACUUAAAAAAUUUGGCGGUGUUUUAAUCUUAUUAGAGGAACCUGUUUUAUAAUCGACAAUACUCGACAAAUCUUGCUUGGGUUAAUUACUUGUAUAUCGUUGUGAUAAUAAUAUUUCAUAACCAUUAUUGGGAGUAAUUUUAUUUUUGAUAUCAGAUCAAGGUUCAGUUUAUGCCUAAGUGAAAAAUAGGUUACAAUAUAGGAAUAUAUUACGAAAUUUAUAUUUUAAAUAUAAAUGAAGGUGGAUUUAAAAGCAUUUUUAUAGUAAUGUGUUAAUUUGAAUUAGCUCUAAAACAUGU